UACAGAGGGUGCGAGCGUUAAUCGGAAUUAUUGGGCGUAAAGGGCACGUAGGCGGAUAUUUAAGUUAGGUGUGAAAGGCCAGGGCUUAACCUUGGGAAGACAUUUAAGACUGGAUAUCUGGAGUACAGUAGAGGGGAGUGGAAUUCUCGGAGUAGCGGUGAAAUGCGUAGAUAUCGGGAAGAACAUCGGUUGCGAAGGCGGCUCUCUGGACUGAUACUGACGCUGCGGUGCGAAAGCGUGGGUAGCGAACAGG
This 253-nucleotide ribosomal RNA is filed under the name uncultured bacterium. Its description in RNAcentral is "partial 16S ribosomal RNA". It matches the Rfam family "Bacterial small subunit ribosomal RNA", at positions 524 to 776 of the family's 1533-position model. The record is from RNAcentral.